AGCUUGUACAGGUGCUGCAUGGCUGUCGUCAGCUCGUGUCGUGAGAUGUUCGGUUAAGUCCGCUAACGAGCGCAACCCUCGCUGUGUGUUGCAAGUGUCACACGGAACUGCCGGUCAUAAACCGGAGGAAGGUGGGGAUGACGUCAAGUCAGCAUGGCCUUUAUAUCCUGGGCUACACACACGCUACAAUGGUCGGUACAAUAGGUUGCCAAGCCGCGAGGCGGAGCCAAUCCACAAAGCCGGCCUCAGUUCAGAUUGUAGGCUGCAACUCGCCUGCAUGAAGAUGGAGUUGCUAGUAACCGCAGGUCAGCAAUACUGCGGUGAAUACGUUCCCGGGUCUU
This 341-nucleotide ribosomal RNA is filed under the name uncultured Anaerolineaceae bacterium. Its description in RNAcentral is "bacterial SSU rRNA". It matches the Rfam family "Bacterial small subunit ribosomal RNA", at positions 1027 to 1382 of the family's 1533-position model. Lineage: Bacteria; Bacillati; Chloroflexota; Anaerolineae; Anaerolineales; Anaerolineaceae. The record is from RNAcentral.